UUUUUUUUUUUUUUUUUUUUCAGUAGAUAAUGUACACACACAGCAGCGCUCAGGGACAGAACUCGACAUUUUGAUAAAAUCAUGACAAUUUUAUCAAGAACUCUCAUCUUAUAUGAGUGUUACAUACGCACACUCCAUAACUGAUGUGAGAUCCCAAAGGACUAGUAUCUGGACCCCAAUUCAUGUAUAAAUGCAAACAAGUUUAGUGGAGUUGAGUCAAUGUGAACCAUGUAUGGAUAAGAGAAGAUGAAAUAAUGUUAGAAAUCUCUUUUCCCUACAUUGGACUUUUAGAUUCAGAGAUGGGAAAUGAAUUCCAAUGUUCUGGAUAUAAAAUCCUUUAUUCCUAGGUUUGCUUAAGUGGUUUUCUCUCUUGUUAGGAGAUCGGCUAACAGAACAGCUGAUUUUGUAGCAAAAGCUUUUUUCUAGAGGGCUCUUUCUUGUAAUCGGCUAACUGCCAUUCCUAAUAAGCUUCUGUCUACCUUGUACUUUGAUGUAAUUUGAAAAAUGCUAGUCAUUAAAAAUAUUCGACAAUUAUGAAUGUAAUACAAG
RNAcentral lists this unclassified non-coding RNA (549 nucleotides) under Hevea brasiliensis (rubber tree). Lineage: Eukaryota; Viridiplantae; Streptophyta; Magnoliopsida; Malpighiales; Euphorbiaceae. The record is from RNAcentral.